UGCAGCAAAUAGUGUCAAUAUGGCAGUGGCAGCUUGUGGGGCAGCAGAAUGACACAAAACUCGUCCUUUUAGGCGCCGCACAGUCUCUCUUACUCUGUCCAAAGAAGCCAACUGGCCUCUUUCAGGUCUCUGAGUCAAUGGAUAAGCUGUAGAGAGAGCUGCAACGUUGCGGAUGGAUGAAAGGUGUCUCGAGACCACCGGGGCCUCGACCGGCUCCGGCGACGCUCUCCAUGGGCUUAAGUUUGGGCAAAAGAUCUACUUUGAGGAUGGCGGUGGCGGCGGUGGGAGUGGGAGUGGAAGCUCCUCCAAGCCGCCUCUGGCUCCGAUCAAGGAGGGCGCGGCGCCAUCGCCGCCGGGGAAGAAGGGGAAGGGGGUGGCGCAGGGGGGCCAGCAGCAACCGCCUAGGUGCCAGGUGGAAGGGUGCAAUGCCGAUCUGACGGGGGUUAAGGCUUACUAUUGUAGGCACAAAGUUUGUGGGAUGCAUUCGAAGGCACCCAAGGUGAUUGUUGCAGGCUUGGAGCAGAGGUUCUGUCAGCAGUGUAGCAGGUUUCAUCUAUUACCUGAAUUUGACCAAGGAAAGCGCAGUUGUCGUAGACGACUUGCUGGACAUAAUGAACGUCGCAGGAAGCCGCCUCCUGGGACAUUUGCAUCAUGCUAUGGCCGGUUUGCAUCAUCCUUUCAUGGUCAGAAGCUUCUUACUGUAUCUGCAUUUACAUUUCCCUCCUUGCAGCUUUCUGAUACACUGCCAUUUGUAUGCUUUGUCCUCAGAAGAACCUGGUAGAUUCAAAAGCUUUCUGGUGGACUUCAGUCACCCAAAGUUCUCAAGUAGUGCAAGAGAUGUUUGGCCAACUGCUAGUGCUGGUGAUCGGGUGGUUACCGAUGAAUGGCAUGGGGUCUUAGAUGCUCCAACCCAUGCGGCUCUCUUACAUGGUACGCGUCCCUGUUAUCAGGGUCCUCUGGCAGGGAACUUCUGCUCCCCUGUGGAACUUCCACCUGGUGAAGUUCUUGCAGGGGUCUCUGACUCGAGCUGUGCUCUCUCUCUUCUGUCAACUCAUUCGUGGAGCAGCAACUCUGCCAGAAACCUUUCAGUAAACCCAGCAAACAGCACUUUUGUUGUGCCCCCUCCAUCAACCCGUUCAGUCAUCCCUGGUAAUUCCACUACCACUUCGUGGGGGCUAAGAAGUCAUGGAGGCAGGACUAUCCCACAUGAAAUCCAACAUGAAAUGGGAUUAGCAGAAGAAACUGAGGCUAGCGAUGCUCAUUUUUCUCAUCAGGUAGGUUUUGCUCCGCAUGAAAAUGGGCAGUGCCUUGACCAUGGCUCAGGUAGGGCAUGUGACCAUUCGGUUCCCGGCAUACAUUGGUCUCUCUAGACCUUAUGAUCAAUUGACUGUGAUGAAUCGAAACUUUGUGCAUGGUGAUUCUGUUUCCAAAAAUUUUAUGGAUCUUAAAUCUUUUGUCCAUCUAUAUGAAACCUAUGCUGCCAGGAAGCAUUAGUAAUGUUGUGAUGUCAUUUAGCUCA
This is an RNA transcript of Musa acuminata AAA Group (dessert banana), 1519 nucleotides long. It is a transcript of the gene named squamosa promoter-binding-like protein 14, with no coding region annotated. The transcript is spliced from 2 exons. The record is from RefSeq and is a predicted model, not a curated record. NCBI's taxonomy places the organism in Eukaryota, Viridiplantae, Streptophyta, Magnoliopsida, Zingiberales, Musaceae.